CCUACGGGUGGCAGCAGUGAGGAAUAUUGGUCAAUGGGCGGAAGCCUGAACCAGCCAAGUCGCGUGCGGGAUGAAGGCCCUACGGGUCGUAAACCGCUUUUGCACGGGGAUAACACCCUCCACGUGUUGAGGGCUGCAGGUACCGUGCGAAUAAGGGCCGGCUAAUUCCGUGCCAGCAGCCGCGGUAAUACGGAAGGCCCGAGCGUUAUCCGGAUUCAUUGGGCUUAAAGGGAGCGCAGGCGGGCGUUCAAGUCAGCUGUAAAAUCGCGCGGCUCAACCGCGCCCCGCAGUUGAAACUGGAAGCCUUGAGUUCACAACAGGUAGGCGGAAUUCGUGGUGUAGCGGUGAAAUGCAUAGAUAUCACGAGGAACCCCGAUUGCGAAGGCAGCCUGCCGGGGUGCGACUGACGCUGAGGCUCGAAGGUGUGGGUAUCAAACAGGAUUAGAUACCCUAGUAGUC
This 459-nucleotide ribosomal RNA is filed under the name uncultured bacterium. RNAcentral describes it as "partial 16S ribosomal RNA". It matches the Rfam family "Bacterial small subunit ribosomal RNA", at positions 338 to 795 of the family's 1533-position model. The record is from RNAcentral.